AAACUUGGCUCCUGUCUCGUAGUUUUAUAAAAGCGCACAGCAUAGUGUAGCGUACAAGUAAAUAAGUAGUUCAAACACAGGCUGAUCUAUGGCUCUCAGAAGCAGUGUUUGUUCAUAGUUCAAUUUUCACUGUGCGUUAUCAACGAAUGUAAUGUCAGUGCGACCUUAGACAUUGAAUAUAUGUCCUUUUGUUUUACAAGUACGAAGGAAACAUGGAGGAGUCUUCUUUCAAUUUUAAUAUUUUGAACACGAUCAUUAUCGCCUCCUUGGGAUAUUUGACUGUGAAGGCUAUCUGUGGUAUUCUCAAGUUCAUAAAGUUCAGGAGAAUAUACAACGCCAUUCCUGGGGAACAGUCCUUCAACCCUUUUUUGGGAACUCUACACAAGUUUCCAGGGCCUAAUGAAGAAGGCAUUAAAUAUGACUUCAAAAUGAUGAGAGAUGUUGCUCCAAAGAUUAUAAGGAUUUGGGCAGGACCAUUCCUUCCUGUGUUAUUGUUACAUCACCCAGAAACUGUCAGAGUUCUGCUCAAGUCCUCAGAGCCGAAGCCCAGGGGAAAGUAUGUAGCAGGGCCGUAUGACAUGGGCGUGCCCUGGUUGGGGGAAGGGCUGCUUAUUGCCAAUGGAGACCGAUGGGCACGGAGUCGGCGCCUUCUCACCCCAGCUUUCCAUUUCGACAUCCUCAAACCUUACUUUUCAAUCAAUAAUCAGGCUACUGAUAUUUUGUUGGACAAAAUAUCCAAAACCUGCAAAACAGGGAAAACCUUUGAAGUGUUCAACGUCAUUAGUCUUUGUGCCCUUGACAUCUUACUGAGGUGUGCCUUCUCUCAGACCAGCAACUGUCAGACUGAUGGAGAGAAUCAUCCAUACAUACAGGCUGUCAACAACCUGACAAAUAUGUGGUCUGCCCGUUCUCUAAAACCCAUCUUCUUCUUCGACUUCAUUUAUUUCCGGUGCCCGAGUGGCCGCAAGUUCCUCAAAACUUGCGACUAUGUGCAUCAGGUAGCGGAAGAAGUUAUUGAGGCAAGAAGGAAAGUUGUGAGUGAGAAUGGUCCUGCAACUCAGGAAGACGGAAAGAAGAAGAAGAUACUGGACUUCUUGGACAUUCUCCUGACAGCCAGAGAUGAGGAUGGGAAUGGUUUGACUUCACUGGAGAUCAGGAACGAAGUGGACACCUUCCUGUUUGAGGGCCAUGACACAACCACAAGUGCUAUGUCCUGGAUGUUAUACCACAUGGCUAAAUACCCGGAGUACCAGACUCGAGUUCAGGAAGAAAUAGAUGGCAUUUUGAAGGGGAGAGAAUCUGACCAUAUCAUGUGGGAAGAUCUGCCCAAGCUGGAAUUCUUUUCUCUGUGUUUGAAGGAGUCGUUGAGGAAUAGAACGCCUGUUCCUUUCAUUGAGCGUGAGCUGACGAAGGACACAGUCCUUGGUGGAUAUGAUGUCCCCAAAGGCACAUUUGUGGGUAUGCAUCUAUACAAUCUGUGCCACAACCCCCAUGUGUGGGAUCGCCCGCAGGAGUUCUCAUCCUGAGAGAUUCCUUUCUGAAGAAGUGAAGGCACAGGACCCCUUUUCCUAUGUUCCCUUCUCUGCUGCGGAUCAAGAAACUGCAUUGGGCAGAACUUUGCUAUGCAUGAAAUGAAGGUCGUCCUUGCACGAAUAUUGCACAGGUUCACCUUACAGCCUUGAUGAAAAUCGAUGAGGUAAGGAUGUUGACCAUGGCUGUAUUGAGAGCAGAGAAUGGAAUCAAGAUGUAUGCCAACGCCGCGGGCCUUCUGCCUGAUCUCGACCUGAGGGCACCAUGAAGUUACGCCACACAUCCAUUGUGAGCAGUACAGUGUUACAGAGGUUACUGAAUGGUAAUUAUCAGUCAACUACUUUAGAUUAAGUGUCAGUCUCUUUACUCCUGUGGGUGUCUGUUUUGUCUUCACUAUUUGACUGUUUAUUCUGU
This 1944-nucleotide unclassified non-coding RNA is filed under the name Haliotis rubra (blacklip abalone). Its description in RNAcentral is "ultra-long-chain fatty acid omega-hydroxylase-like, transcript variant X1". Lineage: Eukaryota; Metazoa; Mollusca; Gastropoda; Lepetellida; Haliotidae. The record is from RNAcentral.